UAUUUUAAAACAAGGAUAUAGUACACCGUGUAUAGGUACUCUAUAGCUUACCGUGUAUAGAUAGUCAAAACUAGAGUUUAAUUCACACCACCCGCUGAGCUUUAGAUAGCCUCCACAACGACCAUGGGAGAUAACUUAAGCGUAGAGGAACACAAUGAGGACGUUUUUAGAAGCCUAAAGCCAGGGGAUAUUGUCAAGUUUGAUCGUGGGGCUUAUUGACAUUUCGCCUUGUAUAUCGGUCAAGGUAAAGUGAUCCACCUGACGGCUCCAGACAACGGUCACGGCAUAUCCGGCAACAUCCGGCCACGUCACGUGGCAUCAGUGGCCAGUGUUCCAGUGGACAAGGCUGUUGUAGCAGAAGAUGAUUUUUUCUUUGUGGCAGGCCACGACAGAGCUUACAAGGCCAACAGAGAGGAGUGGCCUAGUUUCGAUAUCGAUUUGGUUCUCAGGAAAGCCAAACAGAAACUAGGAAAUAAGGAGUAUCAUUUACUUACCAGUAACUGUGAACAUUUUGUGAAUGAGAUAAAGUAUGGUAGAAAUCAAAGUAAUCAGGUAACAGUUGCAGCAGGUGUAACGGGAGGGGUGGGUGGAGCAGCAGUGAUUUUGGGGGUUGCUGCGGUUCUCGUUGGUGUGAUGGUGUAUAGAAAACAGACCAGAACCAAAGACUAAAUCAUAAGGCUUAUUGUGUUGUCGUUACUUAUCAUUUUAAAAUGUUUUUGCAGGAUCUAUAAAGCAUUGUAUUAAAAUUGUAUACGUAUUAAUUCUCGUAUGCCACUGUUUUAGUUUGAUUCCUCAUUUACAACCCAAACUGUAUGCGACACAUAGGCCUAAAUACUUCGCAUGGGUAAUUUACACUUUUUAGAGAAUUAAUCAUGAUCGCGUAAAACAACAAUUACAUAAAUAUUUACAUCUUUUAAUAAAAGAGGCAUAAAAACAAUAGACAUAAUUGUAACUAG
This is a long non-coding RNA of Physella acuta, 956 nucleotides long. RefSeq lists it as uncharacterized. NCBI's taxonomy places the organism in Eukaryota, Metazoa, Mollusca, Gastropoda, Physidae. The record is from RefSeq and is a predicted model, not a curated record.